GUGUCAGCCGCCGCGGUAAUACAGAGGGUGCGAGCGUUAAUCGGAGUUACUGGGCGUAAAGGGCGCGUAGGCGGUUUAAUAAGAUUGAUGUGAAAUCCCUGGGCUUAACCUAGGAACUGCAUCGAUGACUGUUAAGCUAGAGUAUUGUAGAGGGUAGUGGAAUUUCCGGUGUAGCGGUGAAAUGCGUAGAGAUCGGAAGGAACACCAGUGGCGAAGGCGGCUACCUGGACAAAUACUGACGCUGAGGCGCGAAAGCGUGGGGAUCAAACAGGAUUAGAUACCCUCGUAGUCC
Molecule: ribosomal RNA, 292 nt
Filed under: uncultured bacterium
Lineage: Bacteria
Description: partial 16S ribosomal RNA
Rfam family: Bacterial small subunit ribosomal RNA
Source: RNAcentral